ACGAAACACAGAACCUCUUAAAAACUUCUUGAAACGGCUACAAAAGGCUAUAGACGUCUUGGUCUAUGAUAAGACUGAAAAUAGAAUUUCUUCUAAACAUAACCUCAGCACUUGGAAUAUGCUAGUAUAUAUUCUAUCUGCGGCAAAACCCACUACUGGUGUCACUAGAGUCUGUUUUGGUGAACGCAUUCAGAAUGUCUAACUCAAGAACUUUUCUAGAUCUUUUUGUCUAAAAGUGCAUAAAAUGCCAAACGGCGUGUUAAAAGUGCGGUUACCGUUGGCCGUCGGCGUUAGCGAAUAAAAGACGCCACAGACAAAUCGAACUCGUUGGAAGCAACAUAAGUUAAUUGGCUUUGAUAUUAAAUAAUUUCACACCAAAACUUCAACAAUCAAGGGCGUGUUAUUGUUUUCCAUACGGGGCGCGCACACGACGCCUGGAAGCCAUUCUAUGCUCGCGCAGCAGGUAUACUGACAGCAGCAGGAGCGAAACGCCGGCGUUGCACAGCGGUGUCACAGAGCCACCGCGCUGCGAUCACUUCGGCGACACAAUCCAAAUUUGUCGGACAUCUCAUUCUGUGCUGGAAACACUGGGAGGCAGGAAGUUUGAAAAAACGGCCACUGCCGCCCGCAAUGUCUCGGUCGUGGGCUGGUCGUGGGUUCGUUAUGCCAGUUGUGCGUCAUUCUAAGCCGUUCUGUACAUUUAUACUGCAUAUUAAUUGGAGUCAUUUAGCUGUGCUGAUGCUGUUUGCCGUGUGUUUUGCAUCAGUGCUUCGUGACAUCGGCUGUAUUGCGUGUUUUCGCCGACGGCUUACUACCACAAUGGCGGGAUCUGCGUUCGCCGCCUUCGUGUCUCGGUGCGUCAUUUUGUACGUCGCACGUUCGGAUAACACUUUUUCCGGUAAGUGAAAUACAUUGCACUUCGUUUUUCGUCAACAAUGUGAAUAUUUUUAGGUGUUACCCGCGACAGUUCUUGAUAUAUGGGCUCUUCUGCCCUGCGAGUUUUCGUCAUUACUUUUAUACGAGGGUUCUGCUUGUGUUCAGCCGUUCAGCACUACCGCGCUCCACGACUUCCGCAACACCAGUCAGAACUUUGCCCUGCUUGUUAGUCUUUGUGGUUGACGUAGCACGAACCAACCGAAAGGAGUGCAUUCGAAGACGACGCGCUGGCUGUAAUGCUGAACCAGGCUGAACUCGCCCUAUCUUGUGUCCUUUUGUUCUUGCGUGUGCGCGCGUGUGUGUCAGUGACUAUGCAGUUUGUAGCGCUCCCACUUUAUAGCAAAACAAAAAAUAUAACUGCUAUGUUUACUUCAUCUAUACAAUUCCAAAUUAAAUCGUCUGCUGAUGUACAAAUUUCACUUGUGUUUUGUUCUAAAUAAGCAGCAAAACCUUUAACCUAGUAGGUGCUUCACCUGGGAGUGAAAACACGACAGCUUGGCACUUAUUAUUGAAUGACUGUGACUGGGUCACCUUAGUUGUAAUUGCAAAUCUGCCUUUCAACUGACUUGAUGCUAUCUUAUUUUGUUCCUUUCACUCUAUAGACAGCUGGACAUCCUUCUUGUACCUUGGCGCUAGCUGGAUGACGGGACAUCAUGAUCAGUGUAUUGCUUGCCUAUGUCUACAAGAACCGUCACGCGUGGCCUGUGACAGCAAGCUUUUGUGGGCAGCAAGUGCUCUCCUACGAAGGCUGGCCUACUCUGGCAGCGGCGGCAAUCAUCUUCAAGAUUUAUCCAUAAUCACCUUUGCUGCUUUUUGUCACUCUUGUUGAUUACACUUUCUGCGUCUUUUCUAAUUUAUUAGGUAAUAAAGUAUGAGUAUGUGA
Non-coding RNA from Dermacentor andersoni, 1819 nucleotides. Lineage: Eukaryota; Metazoa; Arthropoda; Arachnida; Ixodida; Ixodidae. The record is from RefSeq and is a predicted model, not a curated record.